CCUACGGGGGGCUGCAGUGGGGAAUAUUGGACAAUGGGCGAAAGCCUGAUCCAGCCAUGCCGCGUGUGUGAAGAAGGCCUUCGGGUUGUAAAGCACUUUCAGUGGGGAAGAAAGCCUUGGGGCUAAUACCCUCGAGGAAGGACAUCACCCACAGAAGAAGCACCGGCUAACUCCGUGCCAGCAGCCGCGGUAAUACGGAGGGUGCGAGCGUUAAUCGGAAUUACUGGGCGUAAAGCGCGCGUAGGCGGUCUGAUAAGCCGGUUGUGAAAGCCCCGGGCUCAACCUGGGAACGGCAUCCGGAACUGCCAGGAUAGAGGGGAGGAGAGGAAGGUAGAAUUCCCGGGGUAGCGGUGAAAUGCGUAGAGAUCGGGAGGAAUACCAGUGGCGAAGGCGGCCUUCUGGACUGACACUGACGCUGGGGUGCGAAAGCGUGGGUAGCAAACAGGAUUAGAUACCCCAGAGUC
Molecule: ribosomal RNA, 464 nt
Filed under: Vreelandella stevensii
Lineage: Bacteria; Pseudomonadati; Pseudomonadota; Gammaproteobacteria; Oceanospirillales; Halomonadaceae
Description: partial 16S ribosomal RNA
Rfam family: Bacterial small subunit ribosomal RNA
Source: RNAcentral